This 253-nucleotide ribosomal RNA is filed under the name uncultured bacterium. RNAcentral's name for it is "partial 16S ribosomal RNA". It matches the Rfam family "Bacterial small subunit ribosomal RNA", at positions 524 to 776 of the family's 1533-position model. The record is from RNAcentral.
UACGGAGGGUGCAAGCGUUGUCCGGAAUCACUGGGCGUAAAGGGCGCGUAGGCGGCUCGGUAAGUAGGGGGUGAAAUCCUGCGGCUUAACCGCAGGGCUGCCUUCUAAACUGUCGAGCUCGAGCACGGUAGAGGCAGAUGGAAUUCCCGGUGUAGCGGUGGAAUGCGUAGAGAUCGGGAAGAACAUCAGUGGCGAAGGCGGUCUGCUGGGCCGUUGCUGACGCUGAGGCGCGAAAGCGUGGGGAGCGAACAGG